This 497-nucleotide ribosomal RNA is filed under the name uncultured bacterium. RNAcentral describes it as "partial 16S ribosomal RNA". It matches the Rfam family "Bacterial small subunit ribosomal RNA", at positions 28 to 507 of the family's 1533-position model. The record is from RNAcentral.
GAUGAACGCUGGCGGCGUGCCUAAUACAUGCAAGUCGAGCGAACAGACGAGGAGCUUGCUCCUCUGACGUUAGCGGCGGACGGGUGAGUAACACGUGGAUCACCUACCUAUAAGACUGGGAUCACUUCGGGAAACCGGAGCUAAUACCGGAUAAUAUAUUGAACCGCAUGGUUCAAUAGUGAAAGACGGUGUUGCUGUCACUUAUAGCUGGAUCCGCGCCGCAUUAGCUAGUUGGUAAGGUAACGGCUUACCAAGGCAACCAUGCGUAGCCGACGUGAGAGGGUGAUCGGCCACACUGGAACUGAGACACGGUCCAGACUCCUACGGGAGGCAGCAGUAGGGAAUCGGCCGCAAUGGGCGAAAGCCUGACGGAGCAACGCCGCGUGAGUGAUGAAGGUCUUCGGAUCGUAAAACUCUGUUAUUAGGGAAGAACAAAUGUGUAAGUAACUAUGCACGUCUUGACGGUACCUAAUCAGAAAGCCACGGCUAACUACGUG